Molecule: ribosomal RNA, 495 nt
Filed under: uncultured bacterium
Lineage: Bacteria
Description: bacterial SSU rRNA
Rfam family: Bacterial small subunit ribosomal RNA
Source: RNAcentral
UGAACGCUAGCUACAGGCUUAACACAUGCAAGUCGAGGGGCAGCAUUGGAGUAGCAAUACUCAGAUGGCGACCGGCGCACGGGUGAGUAACACGUAUCCAACCUGCCGCUUACUCGGGGAUAGCCUUUCGAAAGAAAGAUUAAUACCCGAUGGUAUAAAGAGUUCGCAUGUUCUCUUUAUUAAAGAAUUUCGGUAAGCGAUGGGGAUGCGUUCCAUUAGAUAGUUGGCGGGGUAACGGCCCACCAAGUCUACGAUGGAUAGGGGUUCUGAGAGGAAGGUCCCCCACAUUGGAACUGAGACACGGUCCAAACUCCUACGGGAGGCAGCAGUGAGGAAUAUUGGUCAAUGGACGAGAGUCUGAACCAGCCAAGUAGCGUGAAGGAUGACUGCCCUAUGGGUUGUAAACUUCUUUUAUAAGGGAAUAAAGUGAGGGACGUGUCCCUUUUUGUAUGUACCUUAUGAAUAAGGAUCGGCUAACUCCGUGCCAGCAGCGGC